GUCUGGGUGGCGCAAUUGGUUAGCGCGUCUGACUGUUAAUCAGGAGGUUGAGAGUUCGAGCCUCUCCCUGGACG
Molecule: non-coding RNA, 74 nt
Organism: Aspergillus leporis
Lineage: Eukaryota; Fungi; Ascomycota; Eurotiomycetes; Eurotiales; Aspergillaceae
Source: the annotation of a GenBank genome assembly